This 6410-nucleotide long non-coding RNA is filed under the name Sus scrofa (pig). Its description in RNAcentral is "lncRNA (ENSSSCG00000057334.1)". Lineage: Eukaryota; Metazoa; Chordata; Mammalia; Artiodactyla; Suidae. The record is from RNAcentral.
AAGGGGCUGUGAGGCUAAGCCCUGUGUUCCCACCUCGAGUCUUGAAAACCUUAGCUUAUUUGGAAUUCCCUUCAUCCUAGAAUUUUGAAGUGGUCAGGGAACUCAGAAAAAGGGUUUAUUCUUUAGCAAAUAUCACUGGAAACCAAGAAAUGCUAGCACUGGGAACUAUGUCUAGUCACUUAUGAUGGAGCGUGAUCAUGUGAGAAAAAAGAAUGUAUACAUGUAUGUGUAACUGGGUCACCAUUCUGUACAGCAGAAAAAAAAAUGUAUUGAGGAAAUAAAAUUAAAAAUAAUAAAAUUUUUAAAUGCAAAAAAAAAAGAAAGAAAAAGAAACCAAGAAAGAGCAAAUGAAGACACCCCAACAUUUUCCUAAGGGUGACACUUCCAAUGAGGGUGGUAUAACCAUGGCCACUGAGAAGCACGAGUGUGGCCCAUGGCUAGGAAGGAGGCUCAAGCUGGGGGUGGCAUCCUGCCCUGCCUGCUGUGUCCCGGGCUCCCCAUGUGGUUCUCAAGGCCCAGAAGUGGCGGGGCAGCAGGUUUUAUAGAGUUGUAACAGACACUCGUCAGAAAAAUUAACGUAAUGUGGCAUUCAAGACACUUUUUUCAGUCUUAUCUCUGUUCCCAACUUCUAUCUCUGGGACACAGAUGCUCACAGCAAUUGGCAUCACCAAGAGCCCACACAAUUCUCAACCUGUGUGUCUUUGUACUUCUGUUUAACUUGGCCUGGAAUGUUUCUCUAUCUUCACUAGCCAGCAAAACUGCAAACAGACUUGAAAGCCCAGUGGAGACAACUUCUCCAAUAAGCCUGCCUUCUAUGAGCUUCCCAGACCAAAGAAAUUGGUCUUUCUUUUUUGCUUCUAAAACUUUGGUCAUAUCUCGGCUUCAGAUGUUAGGACACUAGGGUAACUACUUUGGGUGUGCACAUAUGUCCGUUUAACGUCUGAGAUCCCCUGGGAGGAGGCACCGUCUUGCCCAGGCUUCCAGAAUACUCUCGAUUUUAGAGUCAAUGCUCUGAAACAUUAAUGAGUUGACUGUAUGCCUGUGAGUACUGUGAGGAGACUGCCAUUUUCAGGAAGAUAAACUUUAAAACUAUGAGAAAUUUUCUUUUCCCCUUCUGGUUUGGCAAAGAACUUUUAUUCUCUAAUGAAAAGCUUUAAUUGGAACCUUGACUCUGUAUUUGGAGGUAAUAGGCCUUACUAAAAAUGGAUUAGAGCAGUCCAUAAACUCUUUCCCUAAAUGUUAACAUAUUACAGGGCUUACAAAGGUUACUUAGCUUGGCAAGAAAAUGCACAUUAAAGAUCGAAAUAACAAUUUCCUGGAUUCCUGCAUAGGUUUCUAACUUGUCCCAGUAUCCUUGGGCCAUGAGUAAACAGCUGUGACUUAAUCAGUAACUGCUGUAAAUCGACAGACAUCCCAAGCUCUUUGCAGUUCUCUUGCAAGGAUGAUGAAGGAAGAAAUGGGACAGAGUAGACAUGAAGGAAUAAUAACUGAUAGCAGCCAACUUUUAGAGCCAGCCUCUUGUCUAAAUACUUUGCCCAAGCCAUCCUCACAGCCUCUCUGGGCAAGGUUCUGCCACGAUUCCCACAUGGAAGAUGACUCACCUGAGAUACAGAGUGCUUGGAUGUAUUUCCCCAGAUAGUAUAGCGAGACCCUCGUUGAUUGCAUUUGAUUUUGCAGCUCAGGUUCCUAACCACUCUGCUAUGCUUUCUGCUUAUUCUCCUCUUGAGGUUCAAGUUCUGAGGCCGGUAGAGAGAGACAUGCUCUGACAGUUCAGACCUCCUGUUCUUCACUCCAGGGCGGGGUCACUGUACCUCCCGUGCAGCAAAACUAGGCUCCAGAAUAGUCCUGGGAUGGGGUCUGAAUCUAGCUCUGUGAGGAGCAGGUGCCUUUGGGCAUAUUGUUUGAGCCUUUAACACGUUGACUUCCUCAUCUGUAAAGUGGGAUUGUUUUGAGAUGCUUCAUGUACAAGAGGUCAGCACAGUGAAGAGAUGGAAAAUAAGGGGGAGGAAGAACAAGGAGGGAAGCUGUGGUGGUAGGUCUGCUAAGGUAGGGGGCAGAUCCCGUCUGUCUUUUUAAAACUACUCCCAUUUCUAUGGAUUUAAGAAAGUCCUGAAAAAUUUUCCGGAAAGGCCCUCAUGAGUGAGCACUGAGGAAAUAGGUAUCUAUUUGUUCCGUUGCACCUUUCUCUUCUUGGACCUGGUACCCAGUUCUUCUCUUUUAUCUGCUCCCUUCCCUGCCCAUCCAUCCCUGCCCCCUGGAUUCUGGAUUGGCCACUUAGCUGUAAGGACAGGCCCCUCCGUUUUUGUACAGUCCCCAGCUUGGAUUCAGGCACUCAGCUUUGCACAAACAUAGCAUCCUCACCUGCAGCCUUGGUGAGCGAUAUCCCCCCAGCCCAUGUCCACUGAGCGGCAGAACUAACUGGAGCCACCCACCUGAGAACAUCCUUCUGGCUAUGGGAGAUUAGGGUCAAAACAAGUGGGGGGGGUCUGCCUUCAUUCAGAUGGGACCAGCGAAGCUAGGCUCACCUCCUAGCAAAAUCACUAAGCCUGUUUCCCAUGAGUGAGAAGGAAUAGGAGGCUAUUUCAUUGAGCUAUCAUGUUGACCUUAAAACAAGAUGGAGAAAUUUCUGGAUUUUAGGAGAAAGUCUCAAUGUUAAUGACAUGCCAACAUCUCAGUGGCCUGGAGUUUCAGCAGUAGGCAUGGCCCUUUGGUUUAGCUCUCCACAGCUCUGCCACUUUCUCGGCCUGAGCCAAGGUGACUGAAUUCCUCACAUAACCAUAACACUCAUUCAUCAUGUGUGUUUAUAGUCACUGACACACUUCAAGGCCAUUGACAAAAAGCAGCCUGCUGAUGGCCAAGGGUCUCAUUGGUUAUGCAGUGGGAAGGGACAUUGGCCAAGCCUCAAGAUCUGGGUAAUAUAUGGCUUAUCUCAGGAACGUCUGACUUUGAAAAAUAUACACAGAGUGACCCACAAUGGACCCUUAAAACUCUAUUUGCUGGCCUUACGCAUUCUCUGCCUCAUUAAAAAUAUUGGUUGUUUAAAAUUGCUGGGGGAUAAUUAAACAGGCCUGUGGUUGAUUUAUGGGAGACAAACAGAGCUAUGAAUGCACAGAGAUAUUGUGAGGGGGAGAUAAUUUAUGACGAUAAAGCUAAAUGUUGAUGGGAGAAGCCCAACUCAAGGUUGGCUAUAAGAAGUGAUAUAUUUCAAGAGCCCUCUAAAUCCAUGGAGGCCAGAAGCAUCCAGAUGAGUAUUAUAUCUUGACAUCCUGGCCUGCUUUUUAAGUUUAAUAGUUUUUUAAUGCUAUCUCAAGACCUGAAAAACAGAAUGAAAGACUGCACUCACACGACAUGUAACCACAGAGGCUAAACUAUGUUUGGAAUUUGAAGUGGAAUCAAAGGGAAUGGCUGUGAUAAUGGGUCUGCUGAGUGGCCUUCCCAGUUCAAUAGCCAGUGUUUCCUAGUUGUGUGGUUAGUACUCACCAUCAGGCUUUUUUACAGCAAGUUAUAAAGUGGAGGGUAUGGGUGCAGCUUCCGUCUGGGCCUUCAGCCUGGACGUUCUUUGGGGGUGAGUGGGGCAGGUUUCCUUUCCCUCUCUUCUUGGUGAGGCUCACAGUAUAGAGAACAAAAUAGACAAUGCAUGGAGGCUGACUUCUGUGGGGGAGACUGUCUUGGAAGGCAGAGGAUGUCUGAGACUUUGAAACAGUUGAGCUUCCCAGCCUGGCUGAGCUCACUGCUGGCCUGGCAGCAGCCUCAGUCAGCAGGUGGGCAUCCUGAUGGGGCCUCGUAUCCCUGUAUCUCCUGACUGUGCGGCAGCUUCCAACAAUGGCACCUGGGCUGUACAGUUUGUCCUUCCCUCUCCGUCUUGUAACUCCGGUCCCUCCGUGGUCAAUCAGGGACACCUGCUUUUGUUCGCAUUGAAGCGCUUACUCUCCUCUGCCUCAGGUAACAGCUCCUUCAUCCUGAGAGCUGGUCCCAGGGAGGCCAGUGUGGGUCAGGUCUCACCUGGACACAUCAGUGCAUUUACCUUCUUUCUCGUUUCAUCUCUACCUCCCCUUCUGUGUGCUUGCCACCUCAGAAAUCCCACCCUUUUCUGAAUUUACCCACGUUUGGUUUCUGUGUCUUUUCAGACGUCACUCUCUUCACCCAUUGGGAAAGGCUUUCCUGUUGUUCCCAUGUCCUGCUUAAUUAAAACGUCACCUCCAGCACUAAGCUCUCCCUGUUUCCUUCUGUCAGAAACCACCUCAGAAUCUGAAUAACAUCUCUGCUCCAAACCCCAAAGCUCUCCACAAAUCACCAGUAAGGACCUCUUUGUUCUAACAAAGGGAACAUUUUGCCAACCUGGUUUGAGUUACCGUGUGAACUUGGAUAUACUUAAAAUGCUUAAAAUACUCUUUAACGCAGAAUUUAUGUUGAUUUAAACUGUCCUUGUCUUCAAUUUGUCUGAAAUGGUAAAUUUAUUGUAUGGAAAAGUCAAAAUCAGUGACUAUAUUUUGUUCCCCUUCAAAUAAACUCAGAUCUUAAGAAAUAGCAAAUGAUUACUUUAUUCCAUUUAAAUGUCCCUGAGACUUAAAAAGGCAAUCACAUACUUGAGGUUUUAAUGUUCCUGUCAUAUUUAUCAGGAAUUUUAACAUAAGCCCAUUAAAAAAGUAGAACUUGAUGUUUAGAUUGGAAGUGAAAUCACCUCCUCUUCUGGGAACCACCAAGGCAGCUCCCCGUUGCCUUCACUGGUGCCUUGAGCUUUUACAAGCUGAACUGGGAAAAGUUGGUUUCCUUUUUGCAUAAGUAGGAAGGUUGUACUCCCGUACGUGUGACCCUGAGACUGGCCUCUGCAUUUACUCUAAUCUGAUAAAAAUGUCAUUUUUCUCCCUAUGUAAGUUGAAAUAUUUCGACAAUCAGUGGCAACACAAUUAUAAGCUAGAAUGUUAAGUGAAGUUAGUAUUAUCAGUAAAUAAAAUCAGGUUGUGGAUUCAGGGGAAAGUAACCUUUGAGAAUUUUAGUGAAGCUGAAGCUCUGAGUUGAGGUUAUUGCUGCAUGGCCUCAACUGAACCUGGAGAUGGACAAAUAUUGGGCCUGUGUGUGGGGAAGGGUGCUGUGGAGGAUGGGGAGGAAUUUGUGGGUACUAAGACCUAAAAAUGAAAACAAACCACAUUGUCAUCUGAAAGAAGAUAGAUGAAACUUGUUGAAACAACAGGCCUCUGGGGACUAAUUACUUGUCUGCUAUAAUUCAGGUUCUUCACCAGUGACUUACAUUGACUCAACAUGUCAACUGUCGGUUCUGUGUUAUGAAAUAAAAUACAUGUUCUCUUAAUGUAAGCAAUCCAGAAAUGUUCUCAAGUGUCCCAAGUCGUUAGUCACACUGGACACAUUCAGUGCCCUAUGACUCGUCCCCACGGCUCUAGGCCCAGAGGUCACUUGCAGAAAAAGGAAGUGUAGAGGAGGGAUUAAAUGGUGCAGCCACAUCCUUGAACUCCAGGUAUUACCUUGUUUACCUGAGGGCUGAGGAGCAUCCAAACAGACACUCAGGGAAACUCAGCCUUUAAUAGCUUAUGGUGUUGCACAUUCCGUAUACAAGAGUAAUCUCAAAUAAAAGUCCCCCAAACUUAGCUGUCUGCAUUCUGCUUUGGUUUCAUGUCAGUUGUUGCAGGAGAUUGGAGGGAGGCUGCUGGCCAGCUGGUACCCUGGUAGGGUUACCUAAAACCUCUUCCCUGCCUUGCAGAUCCAGGUGAGCUCCUUGGGAGGGAAGUACAGGGGAAAUGGGGUGGAGGGGUGGGUCACAUGGCUCUGGUAGAGGGAAUGAGAUGUGAUUACAGAAAUGCCCCGUAACCACUUCAGUCUCCGCUCUCUCUGCUCUGCAUCCCUUUAGAGAUAAUUCAAGUCAUUUCAGGCACAUUCCUACUGGUACCCAAAAGGCAGUGGGACUCUCCUGGACCCGGCAAGCACUGCCCACAAGGACCAGAAAGGCAGCUCUCUGCAGAUCACAAUCAAGUUAGGGUUAGGGUUAGGGUUAGCUGCCAAUGCCAAGGCACCAGCCAAGGCUUUCCUAUCACCAAAAUGGGCUUCAGCAGACUCCCGAGAAACCACAGGCUUGUUGAAUAGCAGGAUAAUGUGAUCACAUGAAAGCCAAUGCGGCAAAGUGGAAAACCUCUUUUCAACUGAUCAUAUCAGGUGAAAAAACAAAGGGCAAAAUUAUACCCCUUACUAAGACCACCAGCGACAAUUAAGGAUGCAUGUGGGAGUUCUCAUCAUGGCUCAGUGGAAAUGAAUCUGACUAGCAUCCAUGAGGAUGCAGGUUUGAUCCCUGACCUUGCUCAGUGGGUUGGGGAUCCAAUAUUGCUGUGGUGUAGGCCAGCCGCUACAGCUCCAAUUCAGCCCCUAGCCUGGGAACCUCCAUAUGCCUUGGGUGUGGCCCU